RNAcentral lists this ribosomal RNA (1373 nucleotides) under uncultured bacterium. RNAcentral describes it as "bacterial SSU rRNA". It matches the Rfam family "Bacterial small subunit ribosomal RNA", at positions 28 to 1381 of the family's 1533-position model. The record is from RNAcentral.
GAUGAACGCUGGCGGCGUGCCUAAUACAUGCAAGUCGAGCGAACAGAUGAGAAGCUUGCUUCUCUGAUGUUAGCGGCGGACGGGUGAGUAACACGUGGGUAACCUACCUAUAAGACUGGGAUAACUCCGGGAAACCGGGGCUAAUACCGGAUAAUAUUUUGAACCGCAUGGUUCAAUAGUGAAAGACGGUUUCGGCUGUCACUUAUAGAUGGACCCGCGCCGUAUUAGCUAGUUGGUAAGGUAACGGCUUACCAAGGCGACGAUACGUAGCCGACCUGAGAGGGUGAUCGGCCACACUGGAACUGAGACACGGUCCAGACUCCUACGGGAGGCAGCAGUAGGGAAUCUUCCGCAAUGGGCGAAAGCCUGACGGAGCAACGCCGCGUGAGUGAUGAAGGUCUUCGGAUCGUAAAACUCUGUUGUUAGGGAAGAACAAAUUUGUUAGUAGCUGAACAAGUCUUGACGGUACCUAACCAGAAAGCCACGGCUAACUACGUGCCAGCAGCCGCGGUAAUACGUAGGUGGCAAGCGUUAUCCGGAAUUAUUGGGCGUAAAGCGCGCGUAGGCGGUUUCUUAAGUCUGAUGUGAAAGCCCACGGCUCAACCGUGGAGGGUCAUUGGAAACUGGGAAACUUGAGUGCAGAAGAGGAGAGUGGAAUUCCAUGUGUAGCGGUGAAAUGCGCAGAGAUAUGGAGGAACACCAGUGGCGAAGGCGGCUCUCUGGUCUGUAACUGACGCUGAUGUGCGAAAGCGUGGGGAUCAAACAGGAUUAGAUACCCUGGUAGUCCACGCCGUAAACGAUGAGUGCUAAGUGUUAGGGGGUUUCCGCCCCUUAGUGCUGCAGCUAACGCAUUAAGCACUCCGCCUGGGGAGUACGACCGCAAGGUUGAAACUCAAAGGAAUUGACGGGGACCCGCACAAGCGGUGGAGCAUGUGGUUUAAUUCGAAGCAACGCGAAGAACCUUACCAAAUCUUGACAUCCUUUGACCGCUCUAGAGAUAGAGUCUUCCCCUUCGGGGGACAAAGUGACAGGUGGUGCAUGGUUGUCGUCAGCUCGUGUCGUGAGAUGUUGGGUUAAGUCCCGCAACGAGCGCAACCCUUAAGCUUAGUUGCCAUCAUUAAGUUGGGCACUCUAGGUUGACUGCCGGUGACAAACCGGAGGAAGGUGGGGAUGACGUCAAAUCAUCAUGCCCCUUAUGAUUUGGGCUACACACGUGCUACAAUGGAUAAUACAAAGGGCAGCGAAUCCGCGAGGCCAAGCAAAUCCCAUAAAAUUAUUCUCAGUUCGGAUUGUAGUCUGCAACUCGACUACAUGAAGCUGGAAUCGCUAGUAAUCGUAGAUCAGCAUGCUACGGUGAAUACGUUCCCGGGUCU